UACGAAGGGGGCUAGCGUUGUUCGGAAUUACUGGGCGUAAAGCGCGCGCAGGCGGUCUUCCAAGUCAGUGGUGAAAGCCCGGAGCUCAACUCCGGAACUGCCAUUGAAACUGUGAGACUUGAGGAUGAGAGAGGUGAGUGGAAUUCCCAGUGUAGAGGUGAAAUUCGUAGAUAUUCGGAAGAACACCAGUGGCGAAGGCGACUUACUGGACACAUAUUGACGCUGAGGUGCGAAAGCGUGGGGAGCAAACAGG
RNAcentral lists this ribosomal RNA (253 nucleotides) under uncultured bacterium. Its description in RNAcentral is "partial 16S ribosomal RNA". It matches the Rfam family "Bacterial small subunit ribosomal RNA", at positions 524 to 776 of the family's 1533-position model. The record is from RNAcentral.